CGCAGGGUAGAGCAGAUGGCAGCUCGUCGGGCUCAUAACCCGGAGGCCGUUGGUUCAAGUCCAACCCCUGCUA
Molecule: transfer RNA, 73 nt
Organism: Treponema brennaborense DSM 12168
Lineage: Bacteria; Pseudomonadati; Spirochaetota; Spirochaetia; Treponematales; Treponemataceae
Rfam family: tRNA
About the family: Transfer RNA (tRNA) molecules are approximately 80 nucleotides in length. Their secondary structure includes four short double-helical elements and three loops (D, anti-codon, and T loops).
Source: Rfam